GACGAACGCUGGCGGCGUGCUUAACACAUGCAAGUCGAACGGCCAGGCCCUGCUUUUGUGGGGUGCUCGAGUGGCGAACGGGUGAGUAACACGUGUGUAACCUGCCCUUGACUUUGGGAUAACUUCAGGAAACUGGCGCUAAUACCGGAUAGGUGCUCCUGCUGCAUGGUGGGGGUUGGAAAGUUUCGGCGGUUGGGGAUGGUCUCGCGGCUUAUCAGCUUGUUGGUGGGGUAGUGGCUUACCAAGGCUUUGACGGGUAGCCGGCCUGAGAGGGUGACCGGCCACAUUGGGACUGAGAUACGGCCCAGACUCCUACGGGAGGCAGCAGUGGGGAAUAUUGCACAAUGGGCGGAAGGCUGAUGCAGCAACGCCGCGUGCGGGAUGACGGCCUUCGGGUUGUAAACCGCUUUCGCCUGUGACGAAGCGUGAGUGACGGUAAUGGGUAAAGAAGCACCGGCUAACUACGUG
Molecule: ribosomal RNA, 468 nt
Filed under: uncultured bacterium
Lineage: Bacteria
Description: partial 16S ribosomal RNA
Rfam family: Bacterial small subunit ribosomal RNA
Source: RNAcentral